Molecule: ribosomal RNA, 253 nt
Filed under: uncultured bacterium
Lineage: Bacteria
Description: partial 16S ribosomal RNA
Rfam family: Bacterial small subunit ribosomal RNA
Source: RNAcentral
GACGAACCGUGCGAACGUUGUUCGGAAUCACUGGGCUUAACGGGCGCGUAGGCGGCUUGCCAAGUCCGGGGUGAAAGCCUCCAGCUCAACUGGAGAAGUGCCUUGGAUACUGGCGAGCUCGAGCGAGGUAGGGGCGGGUGGAACUUCCGGCGGAGCGGUGAAAUGCGUUGAUAUCGGAAGGAACGCCGGUGGCGAAAGCGGCUCUCUGGAGCUUUUCUGACGCUGAGGCACGAAAGCUAGGGGAGCGAACGGG